Non-coding RNA from Patiria miniata (bat star), 73 nucleotides. NCBI's taxonomy places the organism in Eukaryota, Metazoa, Echinodermata, Asteroidea, Valvatida, Asterinidae. The record is from the annotation of a RefSeq genome assembly.
GGCUGGAUAGCUCAGUUGGUAGAGCACCAGAACAGCGGUCUGGAGGUUGCAGAUUCGAACCCUGCUCCAGUCG